Molecule: long non-coding RNA, 1656 nt
Filed under: Homo sapiens (human)
Lineage: Eukaryota; Metazoa; Chordata; Mammalia; Primates; Hominidae
Description: HSALNT0335547
Source: RNAcentral
GGAUGAACUAAAUGAUUUCCCGAAGAUAUUUCUAAUUCCUGAAUGUGAUGACUAAGCUAUUAUUGUAGAAUUAGGCAUGGUAUAUGUAUCAGACCAAAAAAAAAUGGCUUCUGAAAAGGAUAUAACAAUCACACAAAAGUAGAUAUUGUAAAGAAAGGGUUUUUCUUAAUUUUCUUUCCAUUCGGAAGAUAUUUUCACCUGGCUUAUCGUAUGAACUCUGGCACUAGAAGUCUGUGAAUUGCUUCUAACCACAGGAACUAUGUGUCACUCAUCUGUGAAAAAGUCUGAAUCUGAAAGUGCAAAAAAAAGAUAAGGUUGGCUCACUGAGGGACCUACCCCACACUAGCUUGUGAACAUUGCACAUAGGAGUUUAGAGUCAAAAUUCUUCCAGGAUACCUUUCCUACCGACUUGUCAUUGGUCUAGUACCACUAUAUAUGUAGGAGAUAGACGGCAGACUGAUCGAAUGGAUGGAAUGCCUAGCAGAAAUUGAGUAUGAAAUAGGUGCACCAAAAAGAGUCUACAUGGAAAAAAAAAAUGUUCCUCUGCUUGGAAUCACUCUCAGUACUGUGCAGUGGACAAGGUCAAUAGCAAUCUUGUAAAGAGCUAAACUUUUCCUGAGAAAUAAUAACUGCUCCCACCUAUUGAGUUAUAUUGUAGACACCAUUUUCUCAAGUCAAUUUAUUUAAUCCUAACAACUUUAUAAGGUAAAUAUUGUUCUUAAACUCCAUUUUACAAAUGAAAAAACUGAACUUAAAUCCUGCUAAAACCUAAUAGCUAGUAGGUGAUGAUAACACAAUUUGAACUCAGGCAGACUGACUCCAGAGCCCUUCCUUCCUCUCGGGAGCUGAUACCAGAGUCAAAAAGAGGAAUAAGAGGAAACAAACUUCCUGCAAUUGCUGUGCUUUCCAGACACAAUAUGUGGCCAUCUUAUCCACUAUUCAGACAUGAGGCACUCUUAAACUAAGAUGCAGAUCUGAUUGCAACACCAAUAAAAUUUCAAGAGUAGCCAACGACAUAAAGAUUAAUGGUAUUUACUGACUAGAAGAAAGGGAAUUUUUCACGGGUUGACAAAACCAUUCAGAGCAAAACUGUGCCAUUCCAACAAAGAAAAGGAUAGGAGAAAAUGAAGCCAAAGAAAAGAGUGAGUGAGAACGAAAAAAAGCAAGAAAUUAAAAGGCAGAAAAGUGGAAUUAGGAGAAAAUAUGAUGAAGAGUAAAGGCAGUGACCAAAAACAAUGACAGUGAGGAAUUGAGAUGACCAUGAUAAAGAGAAAGGGAACAAAACACAGGGUAAAAUAGCAUAGCUCCUGGGGACUCUGGUUGUGUCAAGCUCUCUUGAAGAUAUAACAGGUAAAAAUGGGACAAGUUCAUUUCAACAGGAAAGCCGCAAUAGUCCAGCAGCACUGUCUAAUAGAAUUUUGUGAUAAUAAAAAUAUUCGAUAUUGGCACUUCCCAGUAUGGUGGCCACUAGCUACAUCUGGCUACUGAACCCUCAAAAUGUUACUAGUGCAAAUGAGGAAUUAAGUUUUUAAUGUUUUAAAGUUUAGUUAAUUUGAAUGUAAAUAGCCACAUGUGGCUAGUGACUCCAGUAAUGAACAGCAAAGGUCUAUGGCUUCCAGGCGGCAAAGUGAUUCUAGGGACUUCUCUAAAAAAGUA